This 305-nucleotide ribosomal RNA is filed under the name Escherichia coli. RNAcentral's name for it is "partial 16S ribosomal RNA". It matches the Rfam family "Bacterial small subunit ribosomal RNA", at positions 1 to 302 of the family's 1533-position model. Lineage: Bacteria; Pseudomonadati; Pseudomonadota; Gammaproteobacteria; Enterobacterales; Enterobacteriaceae. The record is from RNAcentral.
AAAUUGAAGAGUUUGAUCAUGGCUCAGAUUGAACGCUGGCGGCAGGCCUAACACAUGCAAGUCGAACGGUAACAGGAAGAAGCUUGCUUCUUUGCUGACGAGUGGCGGACGGGUGAGUAAUGUCUGGGAAGCUGCCUGAUGGAGGGGGAUAACUACUGGAAACGGUAGCUAAUACCGCAUAACGUCGCAAGACCAAAGAGGGGGACCUUCGGGCCUCUUGCCAUCGGAUGUGCCCAGAUGGGAUUAGCUAGUAGGUGGGGUAACGGCUCACCUAGGCGACGAUCCCUAGCUGGUCUGAGAGGAUG